CAUUGAAACACCAGUUUGUGUACAAUCACUGAAGUUAAACAACAUUGAGCAUGGUCAGUACUUUGAUGGGUGACCACUUGGGAAUACCAGAUGCUGUAAG
This is a non-coding RNA of Acanthosepion pharaonis, 100 nucleotides long. The record is from the annotation of a GenBank genome assembly. Lineage: Eukaryota; Metazoa; Mollusca; Cephalopoda; Sepiida; Sepiidae.